Molecule: ribosomal RNA, 415 nt
Filed under: uncultured bacterium
Lineage: Bacteria
Description: bacterial SSU rRNA
Rfam family: Bacterial small subunit ribosomal RNA
Source: RNAcentral
AACGAACGCUGGCGGCGUGCCUAACACAUGCAAGUCGAGCGGGAAAGUUCCCUUCGGGGAGCAAGUACAGCGGCGAACGGGUGAGUAACACGUAGGUAACCUACCUUGGAGAUCGGGAUAACCUGCCGAAAGGCGGGCUAAUACCGGAUAAGACCACGAGGGCUGCGGCCCUUGAGGAAAAAGAUGGCCUCUGCUUGCAAGCUAUCACUCUGGGAUGGGCCUGCGCGCCAUUAGCUAGUUGGUGAGGUAACGGCUCACCAAGGCUGAGAUGGCUAGCUGGUCUGAGAGGAUGGCCAGCCACACUGGGACUGAGACACGGCCCAGACUCCUACGGGAGGCAGCAGUGGGAAUAUUGCGCAAUGGGCGAAAGCCUGACGCAGCGACGCCGCGUGGGUGAUGAAGGCCUCGGUCGUAA